CAUUCCUUGCCAAAAGCCUUUUAACUAGAAGUUUGGAAUGAAUUUGCAGUAGAAGAACAUUGAAAAAACUCCAUGUAAACAAAAAACCUGCUUACAGGGAAGAAUCAACAUCAAGAAAAAGAGAAUGAACUCUUGAACAUAAACUAUGAUAAGCUUGAGUGUCUUCUGUAUGACCCAUGAACAGCAAUGGAAAUCAAAGGAACAGAAAAUGAAACUGCAAAUUGCUAAACUAGAGAUGGCUAUCAAAUCUGAUUUAGCAGACAAAAAUGCAAUCCUUGACAAGAUCAAAGUAGAAAGAGGAAUUAGAAAAAUCUGGAUUAAAAUUACAUCACUUGGUUUUAUGUAG
Molecule: long non-coding RNA, 346 nt
Filed under: Serinus canaria (Common canary)
Lineage: Eukaryota; Metazoa; Chordata; Aves; Passeriformes; Fringillidae
Description: lncRNA (ENSSCAG00000004839.1)
Source: RNAcentral